This 291-nucleotide long non-coding RNA is filed under the name Elaeis guineensis (African oil palm). RNAcentral describes it as "long non-coding RNA (EGUI_LNC031996)". The record is from RNAcentral. Lineage: Eukaryota; Viridiplantae; Streptophyta; Magnoliopsida; Arecales; Arecaceae.
GGGGUUGCUUUGGAUCCGUUUAUCUUGCCAUGUGGUAGAUCAUGAUGGAUUUCGAGGCAUCUUUGCGAGUCUACUCCUCAAAACUUGGGGUGGAUAAGGUGCCAUUAUGGGCCACGAUGCUUGGCAUUUCAGAACUAGACAAGUGGUGUGCUCUAAUUGCUCAAAGUAGGGCAUAAGUCACUUGAGUCCUAUAUAAAUACACCUUUCUGUCAGGCAAAUCUGUCAACAAACAUUCUUUCUUUCCAUUGUCCUGUACUUAUGGAGCUAUCAUCAUGGACUAUGAAAGAGGCC